AGGACGAACGCUGGCGGCGCGCCUAACACAUGCAAGUCGAGCGAUAACCAGUCCUUCGGGACUGGGGACAGCGGCGAACGGGUGAGUAACACGUGGGUAAUCUACCCUCGGUUUCGGGAUAGCCCGGGGAAACCCGGAUUAAUACCGAAUGGCCUCUCAGGCUCUCGGGCUUGAGAGAAAAGGUAGCUUCGGCCUCUGACCGACGGAUGAGCCCGCGGCCGAUUAGCUAGUUGGUGGGGUAAGUGG
This 246-nucleotide ribosomal RNA is filed under the name uncultured soil bacterium. Its description in RNAcentral is "partial 16S ribosomal RNA". It matches the Rfam family "Bacterial small subunit ribosomal RNA", at positions 26 to 263 of the family's 1533-position model. The record is from RNAcentral.